Cyanistes caeruleus (blue tit) is the source of this 1385-nucleotide non-coding RNA. Lineage: Eukaryota; Metazoa; Chordata; Aves; Passeriformes; Paridae. The record is from RefSeq and is a predicted model, not a curated record.
AUGCAAACAGUGCCAAUAGCCAGAGCCUUCUUUAGAGGAAACAAAACAGCCUUGUUCUGUUCCACUUCUAUUGAUACUUCUUAAUUUAAUCUUUUUGCCUCCUUUUGAGUAGGCUUUGGUGAUACAAUUCUUCCAAAGUGUAACUGAGGACAGUUUGCCUUUUUUACCCUUCUUUUUACAAAGCCUCUGAAGGCCUCAAACGAGAAGAAAAAACUUUACAAAACUCAUGCAGGUAUGUUAUUAACAGGUAGCUGAAGGAUAAAACAGCCUUCUCAGAAAACCCCAGGCUAUCUUUUAACAGCGUGCCUGCACUGUGUUGUGGCUUGACAUACUGCUUCCAUGGUGUGACCUGCUAUAAAUGGUGUUUGUUACAAUUAGGUCUUUUUAGUUUGUCCUAAAAGAUUUUACUUGUUUGUCAUCAUAUUAGAAACAUAAUGUACACUCUAUAAGAAAAGCAAUAUACAAUAUACUAUACAUCUUCUAUUUCAAUGCCUCUAGUUUUAGGCUAGUAUUCAUAUAAAUGUUUAUAAUCAAAAUACAGGUUUUCUUGUUCUUCACAGGACCAAGCAAAGUUUUGCCUUGUCUAAAUACUAACAGUAACAUUUCUAUUCAACAAAUACUCUUUUCUCAUGCUUCUAGUUUACUUGUGGUGGGCUCCAUCCUAUUGAUUCCCCAUUAAUGCAUUUGAAAGGGAAAAGUGAUGAGCUAUUUCAGUGCAUGACCUUUGCACAGUACCUGAUUCAUAAAGAUAAAUAGAUCCAAAAUUUCAUUUAUGAGUUACUAGUGACCAGCAAAAGAACAAAAAUCCUUUGAUGUUUGGCUGAGGAAAUUCUUAAGUCCUUGCAUUGCUAACACAGUUUUGCAGUUUUUUGAGUCAUUAUAAUGGAUGUAUUUGAUGAAGCCUUUGCCAUAGACACUGGCAUCUUCAUAGAAGUUGUUCCAAUUUCUGCUUCCAGUUAUAAGUGGGAGUGUACUGUAGUGGAAAAAUUAUUUGGAUUAAAAAACCCCCAAAAAUUCAAGUUUUCUUUAGGACAGUUCUCACUUUAUUUGACCUCAUCCUCUGGUAGGUAGCUCACUUUAAUUCUUGUCAUAAUAGUCGUACAAUAUCCAUAAAAAGUGUUUCUCCAGAGAAACUUCAAUCAAAAAUAUUUUGAUCCUGAUUGUGACUGGGAUGCCUCUAUUUCAGAGCUAAGUCACUGAAGAGGUGAUCAAAGAAGACAGAAUAUUAGGACAAACCAAAAAAAAAUUUGUGUAUAUGGUUAAAAAGGUGAUAUGAUGGGGAAGUUAUUGAAUUGGUUUUUUCCUCAUUAAAAUUUGCUGAUUGCAUAACAACUGCUCAUAAAAUAUUUUUUUUUCCUUUACUGUCUUUCUUUUGAAGCCAAAAG